Molecule: transfer-messenger RNA, 345 nt
Filed under: Chloroflexota bacterium
Lineage: Bacteria; Bacillati; Chloroflexota
Rfam family: transfer-messenger RNA
About the family: Bacterial tmRNA, also known as 10Sa RNA or SsrA, is named for its dual tRNA and mRNA-like properties. Its role is to liberate the mRNA from a stalled ribosome.
Source: RNAcentral
GGGGCCGCCUAGUUUCGACAGGUAUAGAUUGUUCUCAUUUGCGGGUCGAGCAUGUCGUAAACUCGUUAAUCUUCGACAAAAAUUUAAAAGGCGAAAAAAAACUCGCUCUCGCUGCUUAAGCAGUGACGUUUUAUAUUUCUUCUCCUAGUGAGAGAUAUCAAGCGACAAUUAGCUAGGAUGCAAAAUUUUAUUAUUGCUUUGAUGAUAAAAUUCUAAGUUUAUUCAAAGCUUGCUAAUUGUUAUUGUCAGAUAGUUUCAAUUAGUGCAAUUAAAUCUGACUACACCCGUAGCAGAUUGAGACAAGAAAUAUUCUGGACGUGGGUGCAAUUCCCACCGGCUCCACCA